Molecule: non-coding RNA, 707 nt
Organism: Struthio camelus australis
Lineage: Eukaryota; Metazoa; Chordata; Aves; Struthioniformes; Struthionidae
Source: RefSeq, a predicted model, not a curated record
UGAUGUCUUCUCAGACCGCAAACGCUUCUUCAGCAUUGGCUUACUGCGGCCCUAGAUGUAGGCAAACAUGGCCGACUCCUCCUGUGUUACGAAGCUCAUUCCAGUGUGACUCUGGAUGUCAAAGGUUGAUGGCAACAAAUCAAACUGUACCUCAUGCUGCCACCUGGAAACUGCUUGUCUGUGUGCUCCAGGUGGAAGAACUGCACUUCUGGCUCCUCUUGCUGGGUUCUGCAAGCCUGCUCUCACCUGUGUAGGUGGCCCACACCACCCCAAAUACUGGGUUGAGGAGAGGAGUCACUCUUGGUCUCCUGCAACCCCUUUGGUAAUUUCCUUAUGGCUCAUCCUGGGUAAAGGCCAGUGCUCUGUGUUCCCUGGCUACCUGCAGCCGUUGGCUCCUCUGUGCUCAGCAGGUGACUCUGUCCCACCUAAUACAACCUGUAUUUAACCUAGAGUACAUCUCUAGCCAGUUUUGACGUAGGGCAUUAAGCAGGAAUCAGUGGCGCUGUCUGGUCCUGAGGCCUGAAUUUGAGAGAUGCUAAGUACUUGCAGGUUCGAUUGACUUCAUUUGGAGCUGUUAUAGCUCAGGAGUUUGGCCCUGAGGUUCCUGAUGAAUAACCCGGCACGUCCAGCCAAAUCUGAGCUUAUGUUCAUCAGCCAAGUGAAGGGAAUUAGGCAUAUUGACACCAGAUGAGGAUCUGGUCCUGAUA